GGCUUCACACACUGCUCUGUCUCUCACUGGUCCCGUAGGGCCGCUUUUCAAUUGUUAAAACAGCUGCUGAGUUUCCAACCGGAGGAGGCUCUGAGUGCGCCGAGGGGAAGCGCUCCCCGGCUGAAGACUGUGUCCUUGUGGUUCCUGAGUACCGGUGUUCAGCAUCUUGGCCGGAGCAGCCUAGGACGUGGACUUGUUCGCACUCCACACCUCGGGGAGGGAUCUUUCCUCUUCCCCUCAGAAAAAUAUGCAUUUUGCAAGGAGGGAAUCUCCGCACCUCCUCCUCCUCCUCUCCUCCCACCCGAUCCCUGAGCGCCUGUGAGAACCAGGGGAGUCGUCAAUGGAAAUAAAUAGGACCCCGCUCCAUUCUCCGCCCCCUUCAAACAAGUAAAAUCCUCCCCGGGCUCGAAGAAGUAGAGAUAAAACAUCCCUCCCGAGGGAGCGGUUGUCGGCAUUUGAUGGGAUUGAAUUGUUUUAUUAUCCUG
Molecule: long non-coding RNA, 485 nt
Organism: Bos taurus (domestic cattle)
Lineage: Eukaryota; Metazoa; Chordata; Mammalia; Artiodactyla; Bovidae
Source: Ensembl